Vicia faba (fava bean) is the source of this 249-nucleotide non-coding RNA. NCBI's taxonomy places the organism in Eukaryota, Viridiplantae, Streptophyta, Magnoliopsida, Fabales, Fabaceae. The record is from the annotation of a GenBank genome assembly.
AUGAAGAGAUGGUUCUUCAAAGUACUGGUUUCUUCAUCAUCUUCUUGGAUUAUUAGUCUUCAGGUGAUUGAGAGAGUGAAAGAAGGUAAAAGUUUGGAGGAACUGCGGGCUCAAACUGUUGCUCAAUUUAAUCAACAUAUAGGAUAUCAAUAUGCUAAUAAGUUAUCUAAGAAAAGGAAAGCCAUUAGAAUGUUUGAGGAAGAAAACAUCAAGUGUUUGCUUAGGGUAUGUUUGAAUUUACUUAUCUGA